UACAGAGGUCUCAAGCGUUGUUCGGAUUCAUUGGGCGUAAAGGGUGCGUAGGCGGCGCGGUAAGUCGGGUGUGAAAUCUCGGGGCUUAACUCCGAAACUGCAUUCGAUACUGCCGUGCUUGAGGACUGGAGAGGAGACUGGAAUUUACGGUGUAGCGGUGAAAUGCGUAGAUAUCGUAAGGAACACCUGCGGCGAAGGCGGGUUGCUGGGCUGACACUGACGCUGAUGCGCGAAAGCCAGGGGAGCGAACGGG
Molecule: ribosomal RNA, 253 nt
Filed under: uncultured bacterium
Lineage: Bacteria
Description: partial 16S ribosomal RNA
Rfam family: Bacterial small subunit ribosomal RNA
Source: RNAcentral